GAAUAUCCAUAUGUUUUAUCUCUUUCAAAUCCAUUUCGGUUCAAUCAACAUGACACUGAUUCUUGCUCAAGUGAAAAACCAUCUAAUGAAUAUCCAUAUGUUUUAUCUAUGCCAAAUCCAUUUGGGUUCAAUCAACAUGACACUGAUUCUUGCUCAAGUGAAAAACCAUCUAAUGAAUAUCCAUAUGUUUUAUCUCUGCCAAAUUCAUUUGGGUUCAAUCAACAUGACACUGAU
Solanum pennellii is the source of this 234-nucleotide long non-coding RNA. RefSeq lists it as uncharacterized. Lineage: Eukaryota; Viridiplantae; Streptophyta; Magnoliopsida; Solanales; Solanaceae. The record is from RefSeq and is a predicted model, not a curated record. The transcript has 3 exons.